Molecule: transfer RNA, 75 nt
Filed under: Candidatus Woesearchaeota archaeon
Lineage: Archaea; Nanobdellati; Candidatus Woesearchaeota
Description: tRNA-Glu
Rfam family: tRNA
About the family: Transfer RNA (tRNA) molecules are approximately 80 nucleotides in length. Their secondary structure includes four short double-helical elements and three loops (D, anti-codon, and T loops).
Source: RNAcentral
GCUCCUUUAGUGUAGCCCGGUCAAUCACUAUGCCCUCUCACGGCAUGAACCUGGGUUCAAAUCCCAGAGGGAGCG